This 2902-nucleotide ribosomal RNA is filed under the name Klebsiella pneumoniae. RNAcentral describes it as "23S ribosomal RNA". It matches the Rfam family "Bacterial large subunit ribosomal RNA". Lineage: Bacteria; Pseudomonadati; Pseudomonadota; Gammaproteobacteria; Enterobacterales; Enterobacteriaceae. The record is from RNAcentral.
GGUUAAGCGACUAAGCGUACACGGUGGAUGCCCUGGCAGUCAGAGGCGAUGAAGGACGUGCUAAUCUGCGAAAAGCGUCGGUAAGGUGAUAUGAACCGUUAUAACCGGCGAUGUCCGAAUGGGGAAACCCAGUGCAAUUCGUUGCACUAUCGUUAACUGAAUACAUAGGUUAACGAGGCGAACCGGGGGAACUGAAACAUCUAAGUACCCCGAGGAAAAGAAAUCAACCGAGAUUCCCCCAGUAGCGGCGAGCGAACGGGGAGCAGCCCAGAGUCUGAAUCAGCUUGUGUGUUAGUGGAACGGUCUGGAAAGUCCGACGGUACAGGGUGAUAGUCCCGUACACCAAAAUGCACAGGUUGUGAACUCGAAGAGUAGGGCGGGACACGUGGUAUCCUGUCUGAAUAUGGGGGGACCAUCCUCCAAGGCUAAAUACUCCUGACUGACCGAUAGUGAACCAGUACCGUGAGGGAAAGGCGAAAAGAACCCCGGCGAGGGGAGUGAAAAAGAACCUGAAACCGUGUACGUACAAGCAGUGGGAGCACCUUCGGGUGUGACUGCGUACCUUUUGUAUAAUGGGUCAGCGACUUAUAUUCUGUAGCAAGGUUAACCGUAUAGGGGAGCCGCAGGGAAACCGAGUCUUAACUGGGCGUUAAGUUGCAGGGUAUAGACCCGAAACCCGGUGAUCUAGCCAUGGGCAGGUUGAAGGUUGGGUAACACUAACUGGAGGACCGAACCGACUAAUGUUGAAAAAUUAGCGGAUGACUUGUGGCUGGGGGUGAAAGGCCAAUCAAACCGGGAGAUAGCUGGUUCUCCCCGAAAGCUAUUUAGGUAGCGCCUCGUGAACUCAUCUUCGGGGGUAGAGCACUGUUUCGGCUAGGGGGUCAUCCCGACUUACCAACCCGAUGCAAACUACGAAUACCGAAGAAUGUUAUCACGGGAGACACACGGCGGGUGCUAACGUCCGUCGUGAAGAGGGAAACAACCCAGACCGCCAGCUAAGGUCCCAAAGUCAUGGUUAAGUGGGAAACGAUGUGGGAAGGCACAGACAGCCAGGAUGUUGGCUUAGAAGCAGCCAUCAUUUAAAGAAAGCGUAAUAGCUCACUGGUCGAGUCGGCCUGCGCGGAAGAUGUAACGGGGCUAAACCAUGCACCGAAGCUGCGGCAGCGACACUAUGUGUUGUUGGGUAGGGGAGCGUUCUGUAAGCCUGCGAAGGUGUGCUGUGAGGCAUGCUGGAGGUAUCAGAAGUGCGAAUGCUGACAUAAGUAACGAUAAAGCGGGUGAAAAGCCCGCUCGCCGGAAGACCAAGGGUUCCUGUCCAACGUUAAUCGGGGCAGGGUGAGUCGACCCCUAAGGCGAGGCCGAAAGGCGUAGUCGAUGGGAAACAGGUUAAUAUUCCUGUACUUGGUGUUACUGCGAAGGGGGGACGGAGAAGGCUAUGUUAGCCGGGCGACGGUUGUCCCGGUUUAAGCAUGUAGGCUGGUUGUCCAGGCAAAUCCGGAUAAUCAAGGCUGAGGUGUGAUGACGAGGCACUACGGUGCUGAAGUAACAAAUGCCCUGCUUCCAGGAAAAGCCUCUAAGCAUCAGGUAACAUCAAAUCGUACCCCAAACCGACACAGGUGGUCAGGUAGAGAAUACCAAGGCGCUUGAGAGAACUCGGGUGAAGGAACUAGGCAAAAUGGUGCCGUAACUUCGGGAGAAGGCACGCUGGUGUGUAGGUGAAGUCCCUGCGGAUGGAGCUGAGACCAGUCGAAGAUACCAGCUGGCUGCAACUGUUUAUUAAAAACACAGCACUGUGCAAACACGAAAGUGGACGUAUACGGUGUGACGCCUGCCCGGUGCCGGAAGGUUAAUUGAUGGGGUUAUCCGUAAGGAGAAGCUCUUGAUCGAAGCCCCGGUAAACGGCGGCCGUAACUAUAACGGUCCUAAGGUAGCGAAAUUCCUUGUCGGGUAAGUUCCGACCUGCACGAAUGGCGUAAUGAUGGCCAGGCUGUCUCCACCCGAGACUCAGUGAAAUUGAACUCGCUGUGAAGAUGCAGUGUCCCCGCGGCAAGACGGAAAGACCCCGUGAACCUUUACUAUAGCUUGACACUGAACAUUGAGCCUUGAUGUGUAGGAUAGGUGGGAGGCUUUGAAGCGUGGACGCCAGUCUGCGUGGAGCCAACCUUGAAAUACCACCCUUUAAUGUUUGAUGUUCUAACGUUGGCCCCUGACCGGGGUUGCGGACAGUGUCUGGUGGGUAGUUUGACUGGGGCGGUCUCCUCCCAAAGCGUAACGGAGGAGCACGAAGGUUAGCUAAUCCUGGUCGGACAUCAGGAGGUUAGUGCAAUGGCAUAAGCUAGCUUGACUGCGAGCGUGACGGCGCGAGCAGGUGCGAAAGCAGGUCAUAGUGAUCCGGUGGUUCUGAAUGGAAGGGCCAUCGCUCAACGGAUAAAAGGUACUCCGGGGAUAACAGGCUGAUACCGCCCAAGAGUUCAUAUCGACGGCGGUGUUUGGCACCUCGAUGUCGGCUCAUCACAUCCUGGGGCUGAAGUAGGUCCCAAGGGUAUGGCUGUUCGCCAUUUAAAGUGGUACGCGAGCUGGGUUUAGAACGUCGUGAGACAGUUCGGUCCCUAUCUGCCGUGGGCGCUGGAGAAUUGAGGGGGGCUGCUCCUAGUACGAGAGGACCGGAGUGGACGCAUCACUGGUGUUCGGGUUGUCAUGCCAAUGGCACUGCCCGGUAGCUAAAUGCGGAAGAGAUAAGUGCUGAAAGCAUCUAAGCACGAAACUUGCCCCGAGAUGAGUUCUCCCUGAGACUUUAAGUCUCCUGAAGGAACGUUGAAGACGACGACGUUGAUAGGCCGGGUGUGUAAGCGCAGCGAUGCGUUGAGCUAACCGGUACUAAUGAACCGUGAGGCUUAACCUU